UAUAUUUGCAUUCAAUUUAAUCAUACAUAAAAAUCAUUACAAAUAAUAUUGGCAUG
This 56-nucleotide non-coding RNA is filed under the name unclassified sequences. The record is from Rfam.